This 488-nucleotide ribosomal RNA is filed under the name uncultured bacterium. RNAcentral describes it as "partial 16S ribosomal RNA". It matches the Rfam family "Bacterial small subunit ribosomal RNA", at positions 28 to 507 of the family's 1533-position model. The record is from RNAcentral.
GACGAACGCUGGCGGCGUGCUUAACACAUGCAAGUCGAACGGAAAGGCCCUGCUUUUGUGGGGUGCUCGAGUGGCGAACGGGUGAGUAACACGUGAGUAACCUGCCCUUGACUUUGGGAUAACUUCAGGAAACUGGGGCUAAUACCGGAUAGGAGCUCCUGCUGCAUGGUGGGGGUUGGAAAGUUUCGGCGGUUGGGGAUGGACUCGCGGCUUAUCAGCUUGUUGGUGGGGUAGUGGCUUACCAAGGCUUUGACGGGUAGCCGGCCUGAGAGGGGGACCGGCCACCCGGGAACGGAGAGGCGGACAAGACUCCUACGGGAGGCGGCAGGAGGGAAGCGUCCGCAAUGGGGGAGAGCCUGGCGGAGCAACGCCGCGUGAGUGAUGAAGGUCUUCGGAUCGUAAAACUCGGUUAUUAGGGAAGAACAAAUGUGUAAGUAACUAUGCACGUCUUGACGGUACCUAAUCAGAAAGCCACGGCUAACUACGUG